UAUCCCGGCAGUGAGUCGGCGGGGGAUAAGCUCCGUCGUCGAAAGGGAAACAGCCCAGAUCGUCGUCUAAGGUCCCCAAGCGUGUGCUAAGUGGGAAAGGAUGUGGAGUCGCAUAGACAGCCAGGAGGUUGGCUCAGAAGCAGCCACCCUUGAAAGAGUGCGUAACAGCUCACUGGUCUAGUGGUUCCGCGCCGACAAUGUAGCGGGGCUCAAGCACACCACCGAAGACGCGGCAGUAGUUUUGCUACUGGGUAGGAGAGCGUCCCAUGCGGGGCGAAGCGGCGGCGCAAGCCCGCCGUGGACCGCAUGGGAGUGAGAAUGCAGACAUGAGUAGCGAAAGACGGGUGAAGAUCCCGUCCGCUGGACGACCAAGGGUUCCAGGGCCACGUUCAUCGUCCCUGGGUGAGUCGGGUCCUAAGGCGAGGCCGACAGGCGUAGUCGAAUGGAUGAACGGGUCGAUAUUCCCGUACCGGCAUGCAACCGGCAAAACCGAAUCCGCGAGUACUAACCUCCGGGUCCGGGCUUACGUCUCCUUCGGGAGCCGGAUGCCCUGGCCUGUUGGGACCGUAACGGUAGUAGGUCAGCGCGGGAGUGACGCAGAAGGGUAGCCGGCCGCGGAGGUGGUCUUCCGUGGUCAAGCACGCAGCCCGUCCCACAGGCAAAUCCGUGGGGCGCGUGGGCGAGGUGCGAUGAUGGGCGCCGUUGGGCGCGAUAUCCGGUGAUCCCGGCUGCCGAGAAAAGCUUCGGCGUGAGGCGGCGUGCCGCCCGUACCCCAAACCGACACUGGUGGUCAGGUAGAGAAUACCAAAGCGAUCGAGCGAAUCCUGGUCAAGGAACUCGGCAAAUCACUCCCGUUCCUUCGGUUUAAGGGAGACCCCCGAUGGUGAACACACUUGCUGUGGGAGCUUUUGGGGGUGGCACAGACCAGGGGGUAGCGACUGUUUACCAAAAACACAGGAGCGUGCGAAGGCGCAAGCCGCUGUAUACGCUCUGACGCCUGCCCGGUGCCGGAAGGUUAAGAGGAUCCGUCAGGCUUCGGCCGAAGCGGUGAAUUCAAGCCCCGGUAAACGGCGGUGGUAACUAUAACCAUCCUAAGGUAGCGAAAUUCCUUGUCGGGUAAGUUCCGACCUGCACGAAUGGCGUAACGACUUCCCCACUGUCUCGACCAGGAGCUCGGCGAAAUUGCAGUACGAGUAAAGAUGCUCGUUAAGCGCAGAAGGACGAAAAGACCCCGGGACCUUUACUAUACCUUGGUAUUGGCAUUCGGUGUGGAUUGUGUAGCAUAGGCGGAAGGCUUCGAAGCCACGGCGCCAGCCGCGGUGGAGCCGCAAGGUGAAAUACCGCUCUGUUCGCAUUGGAUGUCUAACCUCGACCAGUCAUCCUGGUCAGGGACAGUGCCUGGCGGGUAGUUUAACUGGGGCGGUUGCCUCCCAAAGAGUAACGGAGGCGCUCAAAGGUUCCCUCAGCCCGGUUGGCAAUCGGGUGGCGAGUGUAAGUGCACAAGGGAGCUUGACUGCGAGACUGACGGGUCGAGCAGGGACGAAAGUCGGAACUAGUGAUCCGGUGCCGGUGUACGGACGCGGCAUCGCUCAACGGAUAAAAGGUACCCCGGGGAUAACAGGCUGAUCAUUCCCAAGAGUCCAUAUCGACGGGAUGGUUUGGCACCUCGAUGUCGGCUCGUCGCAUCCUGGGGCUGGAGCAGGUCCCAAGGGUUCGGCUGUUCGCCGAUUAAAGCGGCACGCGAGCUGGGUUCAGAACGUCGUGAGACAGUUUGGUCUCUAUCCUCUGCGCUCGUCGGAAUGUUGAGGAGGCCUGCCCAUAGUACGAGAGGACCUGGGUGGACGAACCUCUGGUAUGCCGGUUGUCACGCCAGUGGCACGGCCGGUUGGCUACGUUCGGAAGGGAUAACCGCUGAAAGCAUCUAAGCGGGAAGCCUGCUCCAAGAUAAGCAUUCCAUAGGACUACGGGUCCUUGAAGUCCCCAUGCAGAACACGUGGUUGAUAGGCCGGACGUGGAAGCCCCGCGAGGGGUGGAGCCGACCGGUACUAACGGACGAAAGGCAACACAAC
This 2069-nucleotide ribosomal RNA is filed under the name human gut metagenome. RNAcentral describes it as "bacterial LSU rRNA". It matches the Rfam family "Bacterial large subunit ribosomal RNA", at positions 973 to 2925 of the family's 2925-position model. The record is from RNAcentral.